This 1246-nucleotide ribosomal RNA is filed under the name Opisthorchis viverrini. Its description in RNAcentral is "SSU rRNA". It matches the Rfam family "Eukaryotic small subunit ribosomal RNA", at positions 1 to 1138 of the family's 1831-position model. The record is from RNAcentral. Lineage: Eukaryota; Metazoa; Platyhelminthes; Trematoda; Opisthorchiida; Opisthorchiidae.
UCUGGUUGAUCCUGCCAGUAGUCAUAUGCUUGUCUCAGAGAUUAAGCCAUGCAUGUCUAAGUACAAACCUUCAAACGGUGAAACCGCGAAUGGCUCAUUAAAUCAGCUAUGGUUCCUUGGAUCGUACAUACUACAUGGAUAACUGUAGUAAUUCUAGAGCUAAUACAUGCCACUAUGCCCUGACCCGCAAGGGAACGGGUGGAUUUAUUAGAACAGAACCAACCGGCGGUGACUUCGGUUGCCGUCGUUGCAUUCUGUGAUGACUCUGGAUAACUUUACUGAUCGCAGUCGGCCUUGUGUCGGCGACGGAUCUUUCAAAUGUCUGCCCUAUCAAUUUUCGAUGGUAGGUGACCUGCCUACCAUGGUGAUAACGGGUAACGGGGAAUCAGGGUUCGAUUCCGGAGAGGGAGCCUGAGAAACGGCUACCACUUCCAAGGAAGGCAGCAGGCGCGCAAAUUACCCAAUCCCGGCACGGGGAGGUAGUGACGAAAAAUACGGAUACGGGACUCAUUAGAGGCUCCGUAAUUCGAAUGAGUACAAUUUAAAUCCUUUAACGAGGAUCAACUGGAGGGCAAGUCUGGUGCCAGCAGCCGCGGUAACUCCAGCUCCAGAAGCGUAUAUUAAAGUUGUUGCAGUUAAAAAGCUCGUAGUUGGAUCUGGGUCGCAUGGCUACAUGCCGUUGCUCGUAUUCCUGGCCUGGUUCACACCGGGACGGGUUUGUGAGUCGGUGUCGUGGUUGUGCAGCCUUUCUGCCGUGUCUGUUUCGACAGGUGUUAGCAUGAUUGGUGGGUUCGUCCUGCUGAUCUGUUGACAUGCUUCCAGGUGCCCUUAACCGGGUGUCGGGGGCGGACGGCACGUUUACUUUGAACAAAUUUGAGUGCUCAAAGCAGGCCCGUGUGCCUGAAAAUUCUUGCAUGGAAUAAUGGAAUAGGACUUCGGUUCUAUUUUGUUGGUUUUCGGAUCCGAAGUAAUGGUUAAAAGGGACAGACGGGGGCAUUUGUAUGGCGGUGUUAGAGGUGAAAUUCUUGGAUCACCGCCAGACAAACUACAGCGAAAGCAUUUGCCAAGGAUGUCUUCAUUGAUCUGGAGCGAAAGUCAGAGGUUCGAAGACGAUCAGAUACCGUCCUAGUUCUGACCAUAAACGAUGCCAACUGACGAUCCGUGGUGGCGCGAUUAUUGGCCCCGCGGGCAGCCCCCGGGAAACCUUUAAGUCUUUGGGCUCCGGGGGAAGUAUGGUUGCAAAGCC